UUUCCGUAGGUGAACCUGCGGAAGGAUCAUUAGUGAUUACAUGGGCGCUCCUUCAUCGAGGCCCGAAAUCAUUUUUCACUCACCUGUGCACCGUCUUUUUUUUUUAUCGCUCCUAUGGAUUUGGAUGUUAUAUCAAAAAGUUAUAAAACUUUCAGCAACGGAUCUCUUGGCUCUC
This 175-nucleotide unclassified non-coding RNA is filed under the name plant metagenome. RNAcentral's name for it is "partial contains small subunit ribosomal RNA, internal transcribed spacer 1, and 5.8S ribosomal RNA". The record is from RNAcentral.